GAUGCUCAAAUCAGAUUUUUUAUAGUAAGUGAAAAAGAGUGAGCGUUUAUGAGAGGAAUAGGAGACAUACCUAGAGGUCCCCUCGGAUUACCUUUUUAUAGAUGAGAUUGGAGCCUUUGGGAAGAGAAAAGGCCAUAAAAGACCUUUUUCCCCUGAAUUAUAUCUUUACACGGUGCUAUGCCUGGCCUUUAGACUUUUUUUUGAGUAUUGUCACUUUAUAGCACGUAGGGGGCCACCGUAGCUAAGGGCAAGAGCCAUCUGAUAGGAUCCUGAAAAUGGCGUGGGCUUCUCAAGGAUGAUGUGACUGGGCCAUAGGGG
Molecule: long non-coding RNA, 318 nt
Filed under: Elaeis guineensis (African oil palm)
Lineage: Eukaryota; Viridiplantae; Streptophyta; Magnoliopsida; Arecales; Arecaceae
Description: long non-coding RNA (EGUI_LNC026666)
Source: RNAcentral